This 446-nucleotide ribosomal RNA is filed under the name uncultured bacterium. RNAcentral describes it as "SSU rRNA". It matches the Rfam family "Bacterial small subunit ribosomal RNA", at positions 26 to 518 of the family's 1533-position model. The record is from RNAcentral.
AGAGCGAACGCUGGCGGCAGGCCUAAUACAUGCAAGUCGAACGGAUCCUUCGGGAUUAGUGGCGGACGGGUGAGUAACACGUGGGAACGUGCCCUUUGGUUCGGAACAACUCAGGGAAACUUGAGCUAAUACCGGAUGUGCCCUUCGGGGGAAAGAUUUAUCGCCCAGGGAUGAGCCCGCGUUGGAUUAGCUAGUUGGUGGGGUAAAGGCCUACCAAGGCGACGAUCCAUAGCUGGUCUGAGAGGAUGAUCAGCCACACUGGGACUGAGACACGGCCCAGACUCCUACGGGAGGCAGCAGUGGGGAAUAUUGGACAAUGGGCGAAAGCCUGAUCCAGCAAUGCCGCGUGAGUGAAGAAGGCCUUAGGGUUGUAAAGCUCUUUUACCCGGGAAGAUAAUGACUGUACCGGGAGAAUAAGCCCGGCUAACUCCGCGCCAGCAGCCCGC